This 497-nucleotide ribosomal RNA is filed under the name uncultured bacterium. RNAcentral's name for it is "partial 16S ribosomal RNA". It matches the Rfam family "Bacterial small subunit ribosomal RNA", at positions 28 to 507 of the family's 1533-position model. The record is from RNAcentral.
GAUGAACGCUGGCGGCGUGCCUAAUACAUGCGAGUCGAGCGAACGGACGAGAAGCUUGCUUCUCUGAUGUUAGCGGCGGACGGGUGAGUAACACGUGGAUAACCUACCUAUAAGACUGGGAUAACUUCGGGAAACCGGAGCUAAUACCGGAUAAUAUUUUGAACCGCAUGGUUCAAAAGUGAAAGACGGUCUUGCUGUCACUUAUAGAUGGAUCCGCGCUGCAUUAGCUAGUUGGUAAGGUAACGGCUUACCAAGGCAACGAUGCAUAGCCGACCUGAGAGGGUGAUCGGCCACACUGGAACUGAGACACGGUCCAGACUCCUACGGGAGGCAGCAGUAAGGAAUCUUCCGCAAUGGGCGAAAGCCUGACGGAGCAACGCCGCGUGAGUGAUGAAGGUCUUCGGAUCGUAAAACUCUGUUAUUAGGGAAGAACAUAUGUGUAAGUAACUGUGCACAUCUUGACGGUACCUAAUCAGAAAGCCACGGCUAACUACGUG